AGGAGCCUGUCCUACAAUCGAUGAUCCCCGCUACACCCAACCAUUUCUUGCCUUAUUCAGCCUGUAUACCUCCGUCGCCAGCCCACCAUGUGAACGUUAGUGUUUUUGGCCUAAUUAUCAGCCUAAUAAAUACGUCAGGUCAAGGUGCAGCCUAUGAAAUGGAAUGAGAUGGGCUACAAUUUCUAAUUUAGAACACACGGAAACUCUAUAUGAAGUAUAGUUAUUGAAGGUGGAUUUAGUAGUAAAAAGAAAUUAGCGUGUUCUUUUUAACCAGGCGCUGGAACGUGUAC
Molecule: ribosomal RNA, 290 nt
Filed under: Hildebrandtia ornata (ornate frog)
Lineage: Eukaryota; Metazoa; Chordata; Amphibia; Anura; Ptychadenidae
Description: partial 12S ribosomal RNA
Source: RNAcentral